Molecule: transfer RNA, 68 nt
Filed under: Eliomys quercinus (garden dormouse)
Lineage: Eukaryota; Metazoa; Chordata; Mammalia; Rodentia; Gliridae
Description: tRNA-Arg
Rfam family: tRNA
About the family: Transfer RNA (tRNA) molecules are approximately 80 nucleotides in length.
Source: RNAcentral
UGGUAAUUAGUUUAAACCAAAACAAAUGAUUUCGACUCAUUAAAUUAUAAGACUAUUAUAAUUACCAA